This 253-nucleotide ribosomal RNA is filed under the name uncultured bacterium. Its description in RNAcentral is "partial 16S ribosomal RNA". It matches the Rfam family "Bacterial small subunit ribosomal RNA", at positions 524 to 776 of the family's 1533-position model. The record is from RNAcentral.
UACGUAGGGGGCUAGCGUUGUCCGGAAUCAUUGGGCGUAAAGGGCGCGUAGGUGGCGGGACAAGCGUGCGGUGAAAGCCUGGGGCUCAACCCCGGGUCGGCCGUGCGAACUGUUUUGCUUGAGCACUGUAGAGGCAGGCGGAAUUCCGGGUGUAGCGGUGGAAUGCGUAGAGAUCCGGAAGAACACCGGUGGCGAAGGCGGCCUGCUGGGCAGUAGCUGACACUGAGGCGCGACAGCGUGGGGAGCGAACAGG